RNAcentral lists this ribosomal RNA (253 nucleotides) under uncultured bacterium. RNAcentral's name for it is "partial 16S ribosomal RNA". It matches the Rfam family "Bacterial small subunit ribosomal RNA", at positions 524 to 776 of the family's 1533-position model. The record is from RNAcentral.
UACGUAGGCAGCAAGCGUUGUUCGGAGUUACUGGGCGUAAAGGGUGCGUAGGCGGCUUCUUAAGUCUGGUGUGAAAUCUCCCGGCUCAACUGGGAGGGUGCGCCGGAUACUGAGGGGCUAGAGUGUGGGAGAGGAAAGUGGAAUUCCUGGUGUAGCGGUGAAAUGCGUAGAUAUCGAGAGGAACACCUGCGGCGAAGGCGGGUUGCUGGGCUGACACUGACGCUGAUGCGCGAAAGCUAGGGGAGCGAACGGG